GACGAACGCUGGCGGCGUGCCUAACACAUGCAAGUCGAGCGAUAGACUUCGGUCUCUAGCGGCGGACGGGUGAGUAACACGUGGGUAACCUGCCUCAUAGUGGGGGAUAGCCUUCCGAAAGGAAGAUUAAUACCGCAUAUACUCUCGAUACCACCUGGUAUUUAGAGGAAAGGAGCAAUUCGCUAUGAGAUGGACCCGCGGCGCAUUAGCUAGUUGGUGAGGUAACGGCUCACCAAGGCGACGAUGCGUAGCCGACCUGAGAGGGUGAUCGGCCACAUUGGAACUGAGACACGGUCCAGACUCCUACGGGAGGCAGCAGUGGGGAAUAUUGCACAAUGGGCGAAAGCCUGAUGCAGCAACGCCGCGCGAGUGAUGACGGCCUUCGGGUUGUAAAGCUCUGUCUUUUGGGACGAUAAUGACGGUACCAAAGGAGGAAGCCACGGCUAACUACGUGCCAGCCGCCGCCGUAA
Molecule: ribosomal RNA, 470 nt
Filed under: uncultured bacterium
Lineage: Bacteria
Description: partial 16S ribosomal RNA
Rfam family: Bacterial small subunit ribosomal RNA
Source: RNAcentral